This 253-nucleotide ribosomal RNA is filed under the name uncultured bacterium. RNAcentral describes it as "partial 16S ribosomal RNA". It matches the Rfam family "Bacterial small subunit ribosomal RNA", at positions 524 to 776 of the family's 1533-position model. The record is from RNAcentral.
UACGUAGGGGGCGAGCGUUGUCCGGAAUCAUUGGGCGUAAAGCGCGUGUAGGCGGCCCGGUAAGUCCGCUGUGAAAGUCCAGGGCUCAACCUUUGAACGCCGAUGGAUACUGCCGGGCUAGAGUCCGGAAGAGGCGAGUGGAAUUCCUGGUGUAGCGGUGGAAUGCGCAGAUAUCAGGAGGAACACCAAUAGCGAAGGCAGCUCGCUGGGACGGUACUGACGCUGAGGCGCGAAAGCGUGGGGAGCGAACAGG